This is a long non-coding RNA of Magnolia sinica, 323 nucleotides long. RefSeq lists it as uncharacterized. The transcript has 2 exons. NCBI's taxonomy places the organism in Eukaryota, Viridiplantae, Streptophyta, Magnoliopsida, Magnoliales, Magnoliaceae. The record is from RefSeq and is a predicted model, not a curated record.
GCAUCUUCCAUCGCCUCGAGCAACGACAUCUUCCAUCACCAUCGACAACGUCAUCUUCCUUAGAUCAGCAUCUUCAAAUAGCCAUACUGGCAACCACACAAUAGAGCAGUUGCACAGAGAAUUCAGAAUAUGGGAUGGAGGGCUGAUGGUGGUCUUUGGCUUCUAGUGCAUGGCGGUGGACUUUACCUUAGCAAAUGCACAGGGGUAAGUAAAAGAGAAGAACUUUGUCAUUUUUAAAGAAAAAAAGAAAGAGAGAGUAUGUGUAACGUAGAUUUGUGUAUCUGUAUUCUUAUCUAAUGAUGCCUGAAUACUAGUAUUCUUCA